AGCGAACGCUGGCGGCAGGCCUAACACAUGCAAGUCGAGCGCCGUAGCAAUACGGAGCGGCAGACGGGAGAGUAACACGUGGGAACGUGCCCUAUGUUUCGGAACAACCCAGGGAAACUUGGGCUAAUACCGGAUAAGCCCUUACGGGGAAUGCGUUAUCGCCGAAGGAUCGGCCGGCGUCUGAUUGGCUAGUUGGUGGGGUAAUGGCCCACCAAGGCGACGAUCAGUAGCUGGUCUGAGAGGAUGAUCAGCCUCACUGGGACUGAGACACGGCGCAGACUCCUACGGGAGGCAGCAGUGGGGAAUAUUGGACAAUGGGCGAAAGCCUGAUCCAGCCAUGCCGCGUGGGUGAUGAAGGCCCUAGGGUUGUAAAGCCCUUUCGGCGGGGAAGAUAAUGACGGUACCCGCAGAAGAAGCCCCGGCUAACUUCGUGCCAGCAGCCGCAGUAA
Molecule: ribosomal RNA, 449 nt
Filed under: uncultured bacterium
Lineage: Bacteria
Description: partial 16S ribosomal RNA
Rfam family: Bacterial small subunit ribosomal RNA
Source: RNAcentral